GAAAACUAAAUCACCUGCGAUCCCACAAGGCGGACACAAGCACUGCUGGUGUGGUUUUGUAUUAUCUGAUCUCACAAACAAUUUGGUGUUUGGCACACAGGUCAUUUAAGAAUUUUGUAGAAAUCAUUUUUCUUUGCCAUUUCAGAUCUCUGAAAACACUCAAUUUUAAUUACUGAAAAAUAAUCCAUCACAAUCUAUUUAACUUUUCUCCUAUUGGUGAAGACACAGUAAGAAGGCAGCCUUCUGCAAGCCAGAAGAGAGCACUCACCAGAAUCCAGCCAUACUGGCACCCUGAUGUCAG
This 301-nucleotide long non-coding RNA is filed under the name Equus caballus (horse). RNAcentral's name for it is "lncRNA (ENSECAG00000059915.1)". The record is from RNAcentral. Lineage: Eukaryota; Metazoa; Chordata; Mammalia; Perissodactyla; Equidae.